CCUACGGGAGGCAGCAGUGGGGAAUAUUGGGCAAUGGGCGCAAGCCUGACCCAGCAACGCCGCGUGAAGGAAGACGGCUUUCUGGUUGUAAACCUCUUUUAAGAGGGAAGUGCAGUAGACGAUACCUACUGAAUAAGCUACGGCUAACUACGUGCCAGCAGCCGCGGUAAUACGUAGGUGGCAAGCGUUGUCCGGAUUUCCUGGGUGUAAAGGGCGUGUAGGCGGGCUGACAAGUCAGAUGUGAAAUUUAGGGGCUCAACCGCGGAACUGCAGUUGACACUGUUGUUCUUGAGUAUCGGAGAGGCAGGCGGAAUUCGUGGUGUAGCGGUGAAAUGCGUAGAUAUUACGAGGAACACCGGUGGCGAAGGCGGCCUGCUGGACUGCAACUGACGGUGAUGCGCGAAAGCGUGGGGAGCAAACAGGAUUAGAUACCCCGGUAGUC
This 442-nucleotide ribosomal RNA is filed under the name uncultured bacterium. Its description in RNAcentral is "partial 16S ribosomal RNA". It matches the Rfam family "Bacterial small subunit ribosomal RNA", at positions 338 to 795 of the family's 1533-position model. The record is from RNAcentral.